Molecule: non-coding RNA, 84 nt
Organism: Sturnus vulgaris (Common starling)
Lineage: Eukaryota; Metazoa; Chordata; Aves; Passeriformes; Sturnidae
Source: RefSeq, a predicted model, not a curated record
GAAUGAUAGAAUAUCCUGAGUUGGAAGGGAGCCACAAAGAACAUCCAAGUCCAGCUUCUGGCCUGCACGGGACGCUCCCAGCAA